RNAcentral lists this long non-coding RNA (296 nucleotides) under Daucus carota (carrot). RNAcentral describes it as "long non-coding RNA (DCAR_LNC004186)". The record is from RNAcentral. Lineage: Eukaryota; Viridiplantae; Streptophyta; Magnoliopsida; Apiales; Apiaceae.
UUAUUUAAUGGAAUAGUUUACUACUAACAAAACAACAUCAUUGAUUAGCAAUUAUAACAAGAAUGUUUAAUCAAAGAUUUGUUAGAUUAAGAAAUAUAUAAAUCAACGACGGAAAUACGGAAUGUAAUGAAUAAUUAGGUGCUAUCGAUUUGUGCAUUUUUAAGGCCUGGGGGGUGGGAAGAACUGAGUANAAUUAGGUGCUAUCGAUUUGUGCAUUUUUAAGGCCUGGGGGGUGGGAAGAACUGAGUCCCCGCCAUGAAAGCAUUGAGAGGAGUUGGAUAAGUAGUCGACGAGUC